RNAcentral lists this long non-coding RNA (2326 nucleotides) under Anas zonorhyncha (Eastern spot-billed duck). RNAcentral describes it as "lncRNA (ENSAZOG00000002942.1)". Lineage: Eukaryota; Metazoa; Chordata; Aves; Anseriformes; Anatidae. The record is from RNAcentral.
GCAGAGACUGGGGGUGCAGAGCAGAAGGGGGAGCUGUCAGCCUUCCCAGUCCUUCUGACAAAUCCUCACUGAAUAUGCAACUUCUUCACGAGCCCAGUGCAGUGAUCAGGGUUUGUGCAGCUCCUGGAGAACUAAAUGUUCCAGGGUUAGGGUUUCCCCUGAAAGCAGGUGCUGCAUACACCGCCAGCUGCACGCAUGUUCGCACACAAAGCAUUGCAAACAGGGGAUCUCCUUGCCACGGGGACCGGUGGAGAACAAGUGUGUUAACAGGCUUGAAACCGGAUCAGACACACCGAGAAACAUUAGAUCCUGCGGUGCCUAACGUUACGAUCCAGCGUGAUCCACUGUGGAAGCUGACAAAGCUUGGCCCUGGAGGUGCACAGCCCGGCGGGUGAGCUGCAGAUGGGGAGAGCCCAAAAAGGACCCAGAGAAAUUACAGAAGCGAUGUCCUGCCCCCAGAGAGCCUUCCAGCUGCUGCCGCCUCCUCAGCUGCUGCCUAACAGCAAGCAGCAAGGUCUGGGGGAGCCGGGGAGAGGGAGGGGAAGCUCUCCCUGCCCCUAGCACCCAGUUCAUACAGCCGAGCCUGGCUCAGGGGGAGCCCUAGAGAAAUGCUGUACGAGCACAGAAUAAAGCAAAACACCACCCUGCCCAUUUGCAGCCCCCAAUACUGCAGUGCCCCAUCGCCAGGCUUGGGGCUGUACCCACACAGAGCCAGAACGGAGUCCCGAGGUGGGAGAGCAGGGAUGCCCAUCUUCUUCGGGCUCUCCUGAAGCUUCCCCGGGGACUGACUGAGCCUAAUGGCAGCGAGCAAUAAUUACUACUGCUUAAUCAGGACUGUUUGAGGAUAAAUUCUAUUUAAUGAGGAUCCGUUUUGCAUGCACCAGGUAAUUAAAGAAUGUUUAAGCAGGAAAAGAGGUGCGAGAUUCUCAGCACCGCUCUCUGGCGGGAUGGAGCAAAAUAAAGCCAAAUGUGGAUUUGGCCAAGUGUUUCCAUCAGGCAGAAGUGCCCAGAAGGGGUGAAAAAUGAACCCCUCAGCACCCUCUGCUACUGCACCUCCCCAGGAUGGUGCUGGGUGUCACCCCCAAAACCCACAGCCCACCCUAUUGCAAUACCCCCACACUGUGGUGCCUCCCUUCCUUUCCCUUUCCCCUCCUUGCCGAUGCCAGCAGUGGUAGCUGCUGACAGAAGACGGGAAAAGCUUCAGGGAAAGCAAUGGCUUAAAUGAUACACCCACAAAAAAUAUCACGUUUGGAUUUUGCUCGUGCUUAGAGCCCUUUCCUCCUCUCCUGGCACUGCCCGUCUGAGCAUCCCGCACGUCUCCAGAGGCAGCACGUUACGAGCACAGAAAUAGCCGUGUGGGAAUGAGGCACGGCUCAAAUAACUUUAAUUCCUAUCAGCUCACACUCCUCAGCAAUCCCCCGAGGCUCUCACCCUCCAGCAGCAAAUACCUCCGGAGGGCAGCUCACACCAGCUACCAGUUGGUAGCCGAGGGAGUGGAUGAGACCCCCGGAUGUGGCUGUUCCUCUGCCAUCCCAACCAAAUGACCACUUUAGAUAAGAUACCCAGAGAGAAAUGCCCCUCACCUAAGUCUAAAAGCCUGCACUGUGGUGCUAGCACUCUAGACUCUCUUUAUAGCCGACGGAGAAUGAGCUACCUCGACAUGUGACUCGCGGGAUCUCUUUUAGACAUAUUUUUCAGGAUGAGAUGUGCUUACGCAUCAGAAGUGCUUAUUUCUCUUCACUGCCUAUAAAGGAGCCGGUAUGACUAGCUCAGCUGUUGACGUGUGCACUGUAGGAAUCUAAAUUUGGGCAGAUGAAUCCCGUUUCCAACUUUCCGACUGCUGAAGUUAGGUAACAUGAGUUCCACUGUGGGCAUGUGCUAAAUAUUUGAAUAUAUGCUAUUUUUUAAUUCACCCCCUCUUUGCAAGACGACCGCAUCAGUAGGGCUAUCUGUGGGAAGAGGAAACACAGUGUGUCAAUAAAACUAGAAGACAUCUAAAUUUCAUACUUUUUUUUUUCUAGCACUGAUUACCAUGAGAGCUACAGCAGCUUUCUUAGUCCCUCUGCAUUUUAAGUUUUACCAUUAUUUGAUUUUCAAGUGUUAGCUUACAUUUCAACUCCUGAAUGUACAAUGAUUUUGAGAACUGUGCCACCCUGUUUUGCCUCAUAUUCUUAUAUGAACACGUAAUUUUGUGUCCAGAUUCCUUAUGUUUUGAGUGUUUUGGCUUUAUUUUUCCCCCUCCACUGGGAUUUGCUGUGCAUUUCUUUCAUAAAUCUGAACUCUCAAACCCGAAGGAUGAUCCUAGUCUCCAGUAUCAGAGCCGCAC